GUUUCAAUUCCUCAUAGGCAGGCUAUCGGCGCAGGUCAAACGGAACUCGAAUAUCUCACUUAUCGG
Molecule: small RNA, 66 nt
Filed under: Acididesulfobacillus acetoxydans
Lineage: Bacteria; Bacillati; Bacillota; Clostridia; Eubacteriales; Peptococcaceae
Description: Peptococcaceae bacterium INE non-coding RNA
Source: RNAcentral